GCCGAUUUAAUUUAAUUGGUAGAGUACUUGAUUUGUAAUCAGGUGGUAGGGGUUCAACUCCUCUAGUCGGCA
Non-coding RNA from Endogone sp. FLAS-F59071, 72 nucleotides. The record is from the annotation of a GenBank genome assembly. Lineage: Eukaryota; Fungi; Mucoromycota; Endogonomycetes; Endogonales; Endogonaceae.